AAUCAUCAAAAGCCUUUUUCUUUGAUCCCUCUGGGUCGGGAAAAGGAUUUUGGACUUGGAGGUUCCAUGCCCGCUUUCUUUCGAAAGCGAGCUCCUCUCAAAUGAAUUAGUGGGGUCCGCUUUGCCGAUCCUUGACGUGAUAAGAUGCUUCUACGUUUUGGAUUUGGCACUGUCCCUUGGACGCCUGCUCCCAACUGUCUCAUGGACAAUGAUGGUGCUCCGGUCACUGCCGUCUACACUGGCGGUGGGAGGCCGGACCCACGAAAAGAAAA
RNAcentral lists this unclassified non-coding RNA (272 nucleotides) under uncultured Russula. RNAcentral describes it as "sequence contains ITS2". The record is from RNAcentral. Lineage: Eukaryota; Fungi; Basidiomycota; Agaricomycetes; Russulales; Russulaceae.